Molecule: ribosomal RNA, 793 nt
Filed under: uncultured Alphaproteobacteria bacterium
Lineage: Bacteria; Pseudomonadati; Pseudomonadota; Alphaproteobacteria
Description: bacterial SSU rRNA
Rfam family: Bacterial small subunit ribosomal RNA
Source: RNAcentral
CUGGCGGCAGGCCUAACACAUGCAAGUCGAGCGCGCCUUCGGGUGAGCGGCGGACGGGUUAGUAACGCGUGGGAACGUGCCCUUCUCUACGGAAUAGCCUCUGGAAACGGAGAGUAAUACCGUAUACGCCCUUUGGGGGAAAGAUUUAUCGGAGAAGGAUCGGCCCGCGUUAGAUUAGGUAGUUGGUGGGGUAACGGCCUACCAAGCCUACGAUCUAUAGCUGGUUUUAGAGGAUGAUCAGCAACACUGGGACUGAGACACGGCCCAGACUCCUACGGGAGGCAGCAGUGGGGAAUCUUAGACAAUGGGGGCAACCCUGAUCUAGCCAUGCCGCGUGAGUGAUGAAGGCCUUAGGGUCGUAAAGCUCUUUCGCCUGUGAUGAUAAUGACAGUAGCAGGUAAAGAAACCCCGGCUAACUCCGUGCCAGCAGCCGCGGUAAUACGGAGGGGGUUAGCGUUGUUCGGAAUUACUGGGCGUAAAGCGCGCGUAGGCGGAUUAGAAAGUUGGGGGUGAAAUCCCGGGGCUCAACCCCGGAACUGCCUCCAAAACUGCUAGUCUAGAGUUCGAGAGAGGUGAGUGGAAUUCCGAGUGUAGAGGUGAAAUUCGUAGAUAUUCGGAGGAACACCAGUGGCGAAGGCGGCUCACUGGCUCGAUACUGACGCUGAGGUGCGAAAGUGUGGGGAGCAAACAGGAUUAGAUACCCUGGUAGUCCACACCGUAAACGAUGAAUGCCAGUCGUCGGAUAGUAUACUAUUCGGUGACACACCUAACGGAUUAAGCAUUCCGCCUGGGG